AAUAUGCAUCUGAUCAGGAAAUCAGAAGGUGCUUAUCCAAAUUGAACCGAAAGUCCAUGGAUUCAGGGAGUGAAACUUCCGAUGAAUUUGGCAAGUCUUCUGAAGAUGAGGGUGGUGAUAGUGAAAGUACUUCCUCAGAUACAGAAAGUGACUUGGAUGUCCGAUCAGAAGCUCGAAUUGGGGAGUACAGAGGGGAUGGAUUCUUUAUGGAAGAUGAGGGUUUAGAUUUGAUAACAGACGAGCGUGAAUGGGG
RNAcentral lists this unclassified non-coding RNA (253 nucleotides) under Hevea brasiliensis (rubber tree). The record is from RNAcentral. Lineage: Eukaryota; Viridiplantae; Streptophyta; Magnoliopsida; Malpighiales; Euphorbiaceae.